This 147-nucleotide small RNA is filed under the name Algibacter lectus. Its description in RNAcentral is "Flavo-1 RNA". It matches the Rfam family "Flavo-1 RNA". Lineage: Bacteria; Pseudomonadati; Bacteroidota; Flavobacteriia; Flavobacteriales; Flavobacteriaceae. The record is from Rfam by way of RNAcentral.
UUGUGUUAAGGAUAGCAGCGGCAUCCUUUUUGAGAAACUUAAAAUAGACUGAAUUUAUUAUUGAUAACUAUACUUUUAAAAAGAAGAAAACCAUAGCACCAUAGCUAAAACCUUCUCAAAAAGAUAUAGCGGAUAGCCUGACCUGCA